UACGUGUUCUGGUCUGCCCAGG
RNAcentral lists this non-coding RNA (22 nucleotides) under Mus musculus (house mouse). Lineage: Eukaryota; Metazoa; Chordata; Mammalia; Rodentia; Muridae. The record is from RNAcentral.